CAGUCACAUGGGUGGCGGGAUGAACUUUGGUGCCUUCAGCAUCAAUCCCGCCAUGAUGGCCACCGCACAGGCAGCACUGCAGAGCAGUUGGGGCAUGAUGGGCAUGUUAGCCAGUCAGCAGAACCAGUCGGGCCGGUGGGCAACAACCAGGGCCAGGGCAACAUGCAGAGGGAGCCGAACCAGGCCUUUGGGUCGGGGAAUAACUCCUACAGUGGCUCGAACUCAGGCACAGCCAUCGGCUGGGGGUCGGCGUCCAAUGCGGGGUCUGGCAGUGGCUUUAACGGAGGCUUCGGCUCCAGCAUGGACUCCAAGUCUUCGGGCUGGGGCAUGUAGGCGGGGGACGGGGGGUGGCUGGCUAGUUAGAUGCACUAGACUGGUGGGAACUCCGAUUUUUCUAAACUCCUGGUAAGUAUAUUGUAAAAUACAUAUGUACUAAGAAUUUUCAAAAUUGGUUUGUUCAGUGUGAAGUAUAUUCAGCAGUAUUUUUGACAUUUUUCUUUAGAAAAAGAGGAAGAGCUUAAAGGAAUUUUAUAAGUUUUGUUACACAAAGGGUUGAACUAUUGAAUGUUUGCAAGUGAACUGCUGUUUUCCUGAUUGGUAAACCGACACACUACAGUGGCUAUCAAAAGGUUUCUCCUGUGAGGUUUUACUCCCUGGACUUGUCACGUGAAUUCUUUGCAUGUUCAAAUGGAGACCAUUGCCUAGAACUCUGUCCUUCCUCGGUUUUCCUUUGAACCCCACCAUACGGAUUUCUCUCCCGGGGGAGGGGGGUUCUCCUCUGGAGAUCAUGGUGUCCCGAUACCUGGGUUCAUUUCUGUUUCUGUGUUUAACUUGUCUCCCCUCAUGUACGAAAGUACCAUAUGAAGCCUUCAUUUAAUCUCUGCAGUUCAUCUCAUUUCAAAUGUUUCUGGAAGAAGCACUUACUGAAAGUAGUGCUAACUAUUCUGCCGUAGAACACUGUCCACAUGCUUUCUCCCUCAAGACCUAGCCACCGCGCUGCCAGUCCUCGUCUCUGACGGACAUCCGCAUCUGUUGGAAGACUUUUAAGUGAGUUCUAUUCCUAGGUAACCAGUGGUAGCUGAAUGUGUUCAGUGAAACGAUACUUGUACCUCCCCUGCCCUCCUGUCAACUGCUGUGAAUGCUGUGUGGUGUGUGUUCUCCUCUGUUCCUCAUCUGCAAGUGUGGUCAUGUGGACUGGAGCUGUGGGCUGAGGAUCGGACUGAGCUUGUGUGUUUCACAGAGUACUUGGCCGCAGAGCCUGCCCGCCGGGGAGCGCGGGGGUCUCCCGCAAGGGUGGAAGUUCUAAUGUCUGUAGCGACCCUUAAGAAUGCUGUUUGCUGCAGUUCUGUGUCCUGUGCUUGGAGGCUUUUUAUAAGAGUUGUCAAUGUUGGAAAUUCUUAAAUAAAACGGAUUUAAAUAAAAAAAAA
This is a long non-coding RNA of Suncus etruscus (white-toothed pygmy shrew), 1427 nucleotides long. RefSeq lists it as uncharacterized. The record is from RefSeq and is a predicted model, not a curated record. The transcript has 2 exons. NCBI's taxonomy places the organism in Eukaryota, Metazoa, Chordata, Mammalia, Eulipotyphla, Soricidae.